RNAcentral lists this ribosomal RNA (440 nucleotides) under uncultured bacterium. RNAcentral describes it as "partial 16S ribosomal RNA". It matches the Rfam family "Bacterial small subunit ribosomal RNA", at positions 338 to 795 of the family's 1533-position model. The record is from RNAcentral.
CCUACGGGAGGCAGCAGUGGGGAAUAUUGCACAAUGGGGGAAACCCUGAUCCAGCGACGCCGCGUGAGUGAAGAAGUCAUUCGUUAUGUAAAGCUCUAUCAGCAGGGAAGAAAAUGACGGUACCUGUGUAGGAUGCCCCGGCUAACAACGUGCCAGCAGCCGCGGUAAUACGCCGGGGGCAAGCGUUAUCCGGAUUUACUGGGUGUAAAGGGGGCGUAGACGGAAGUGCAAGUCUGGAGUGAAAGGCGGGGGCUCAACCGCCGGACUGCACUGGAAACUGUACGGCUGGAGUGCAGGAGAGGUAAGUGGAAUUCCUAGUGUAGCGGGGAAAUGCGUAGAUAUUAGGAGGAACACCAGUGGCGAAGGCGGCUUACUGGACUGUAACUGACGUUGAGGCUCGAAAGCGUGGGGAGCAAACAGGAUUAGAUACCCUAGUAGUC